UUUCACUCUGGCAUCUUCUCCUGCUGGCGAUGGAUCCGCUGAUCUUUCUGAUCUCGCUUGUGAUCCUCCCGCCGCCGCUCGACGCCGGCGGCCAGAAGAACUUCCUGUUCUACGGUGGAUCGCUGGUCGUCUCACCGGAGGGAAACCGGAGCCACGAGGUGGAGGUCCGCAGCCGGCAGGCGACGGUCCAUUGCCACGUGAACCGCUUCUCCUGCCAGUCGGGCGCCUGUGGAUCCGUGGCGGCGGCCAGCGCGGGAAAGAUUGGCGGCGACUCGUUCGGUCUGACCUGGUGCCUGCAGGAAUUCCGGUCCCGGCUGAGGCUCGGCGGUGGUGGCGGCACAGCGCUGGAGAUCCGCUUCCCCACCGCUGUCAGCGCCGCCGACGGCAGCGGUUACUGGAUCCCCAACACCAGGAGCUCCUCCGCCGCCUGGAGGAUGAAGGCUCGCCUGGAUCUGGGGAUCCGGUCCGACACCGGGGAACCGAACAGGCCGCCCGUCACGACCAUCCCGCCCAUCCUCAGAACGCCGAGGAACUGCGGCCGGACGUUCAGACUGACGGUGUUCGACGCCGACGGCGACCGGGUCCGCUGCCGGGUUCCCACGGAGGACGGGGGCUGGGAGUGUGGACUGUGUGGUCUCCCCGGAGGAUUCUCCCUGGACCAGGGCUCCUGCUCUGUGACCUACAGCUACGACGGUCUGACCGGGUUCCACGCCAUCGAGCUGGUUCUGGAGGACUUCCCACCCCGACCCGUCCACCUGUCGUCCCCAGAUGGGGCGGGGCGCCAGCGGCCGGACAUCCAGCAGGGGGCGCCAGCUCCUCUCAGCACGCUGCCGCUGCAAUUCACCGUCCUUGUGGACUCCCACGAAGCGCCGUCCUGUCUCCAUGGCGACUACUCCCCCGUCUUCUUGGCGCCGACUCCGGCCAAUCGGGCAAAUCUCCCGGCGUUUGUGAACCGGACCCUGGAGUUGGAGGUCCGGGCGGCGGCGCAGUACACCACGAUCCGGGACCUGAUCGUUUCCGGACCGGCAGGGAUCUCCAGGCGCUCCGUCGCCACGGGGAUUCACAUCAUCAGAUGGACACCUGCAGAGCGCCACCUGCUGGAGCACAUCCCCGUCUGCUUCAUAUCUGAGGCCAGAGACGCGUAUAACCGGGUCUACCAGUCGGAGCCGCGCUGCGUCACCGUCCACGUCGGCCAUCACGAGGCGGUGGUGUCCUGCAACCAGACCAGCAUGACGGUGGAGCUGGAGAGGACCUACUUCGUCCGGCGGACCGAGGACAGCCUGCGUCUCCAGGACUCCGGGGACGCGUCCUGCAGCCUGAAGAGCCGGUCCAACGCCACGCACCUGGUGGCCGUGCUGUCCCUCGGCGCCUGCGGGACGCACGUCGAGGAGGAUGAAGACACCAUCGUCUUCAGGAACAGGAUCACGUCCUCCGGCUCUGGAGACAUCAUUUCCCGGCACCACGACGUGGACAUCGCCGUUUCCUGCAUCUACCCGAAGAAAGCCAACCUGACUCUGGGGUUCCGGCACAAGAACCCGUACGCCUUCAGUCAGAGCGGCUUCGGCAGCUUCAGCUUCCAGUUCGAGUUCUUCCAGAGCCAGCUCUUCAGACGGCAGGUGGAGGGCAGCAGCUACCCGGUGGAGGUGUCCCUCAAGCAGAUGGUCUACAUGCAGAUCCAGGCCUCCUCCUCCAUCCCCGACACCCAACUGUUCGUGGAGUCCUGCAGGGCCACGCCCUACGACAACCCCGAGUCCCGCGUCAGCUACACCAUCAUGGAGGACGGGUGGGUGAGCUCAGCGGAGAGACCGGCGUCUCUCUGA
This 1820-nucleotide long non-coding RNA is filed under the name Salarias fasciatus (jewelled blenny). RNAcentral's name for it is "lncRNA (ENSSFAG00005000009.1)". The record is from RNAcentral. Lineage: Eukaryota; Metazoa; Chordata; Actinopteri; Blenniiformes; Blenniidae.